This 478-nucleotide ribosomal RNA is filed under the name uncultured bacterium. Its description in RNAcentral is "partial 16S ribosomal RNA". It matches the Rfam family "Bacterial small subunit ribosomal RNA", at positions 28 to 507 of the family's 1533-position model. The record is from RNAcentral.
GAUGAACGCUGGCGGCGUGCUUAACACAUGCAAGUCGAACGAAAAAUGGAGACGGAAACCUUCGGGCGGAAGGCUUCAUUUCGAGUGGCGGACGGGGGAGUAACUCGUGGGUAACCUGCCUCAUACAGGGGGAUAACAGUUGGAAACGACUGUUAAUACCGCAUAAGACCACAGCACCGCAUGGUGCGGGGGUAAAAACUCCGGUGGUAUGAGAUGGACCCGCGUUCGAUUAGCCAGUUGGCGGGGUAACGGCCCACCAAAGCGACGAUCGAUAGCCGAUCUGAGAGGAUGACCGGCCACAUUGGGACUGAGACACGGCCCAAACUCCUACGGGAGGCAGCAGUGGGGAAUAUUGCACAAUGGGGGAAACCCUGAUGCAGCGACGCCGCGUGAGUGAAGAAGUACUUCGGUAUGUAAAGCUCUAUCAGCAGGGAAGAAAAUGACGGUACCUGAGUAAGAAGCCCCGGCUAACUACGUG